This 1707-nucleotide ribosomal RNA is filed under the name Triticum aestivum (bread wheat). Its description in RNAcentral is "partial small subunit ribosomal RNA". Lineage: Eukaryota; Viridiplantae; Streptophyta; Magnoliopsida; Poales; Poaceae. The record is from RNAcentral.
AUGCAGGGCGGCAACCACAUGCUCCUCGAGGAGCCCGUCCGCCUCGCCUCCGUCCUCGCCCCCGCCAAGCCCAAAGUUUUCCCAUCCCUCACUAAGAUUGUUGGGACGCUUGGGCCCAACUCGCACUCAGUCGAAGUGAUUGAAGAAUGUCUCACUGCUGGGAUGUCAGUUGCGCGGUUUGAUUUCUCUUGGAAGGAUGCUACUUAUCAUCAGGAGACCCUCGACAAUCUGAGGAAAGCGGCACAGAAUGUGAAGAAGUUAUGUCCUAUAAUGCUGGAUACAGUGGGUCCAGAAAUUCAGGUUCACAAUUCAACUGGUGGAGCAAUCGAGUUGAUAGGGGGGAAUCAUGUCACAAUAACACCAGAUCUUUCUAAAGCUCCUUCGGCUGAUAUCCUACCAAUUAAAUUUGGCGAUCUUGCAAAAGUUGUGAAGAAGGGUGAUACUCUUUUCAUUGGUCAAUAUCUUUUCACAGGAAGUGAAACAACAUCUCUAUGGCUUGAAGUUACGGAGACUUCUGGUGCAGAAGUGAUUUGUUACGUGAAGAACACAGCUACACUGUCAGGGCCCAUUUUCACUCUGCAUGUUUCACAAGUACAUAUCAGUAUGCCCACUUUGAGUGAAUAUGAUAAACAGGUCAUAUCAACGUGGGGGCUGCAAAACAGUGUUGACAUUAUAUCGCUUUCCCAUACCCGCUCUUCUGAAGAUGUCAGGGAGCUUAGAGCCUUUUUAAAAUCUCAUGAUCUUCAAGACACACAGAUAUAUGCGAAGGUUGAAAAUGCUGAGGGUUUGGAGCAUUUUGAUGAAAUUCUCCAAGAGGCGGAUGGUAUCAUCAUAUCGCGAGGAGACCUGGGAAUUGACCUCCCACCAGAGAGGGUGUUCAUGUCCCAAAAGACUGGUAUUCAUAAAUGCAACAUGGCCGGCAAACCUGUGAUCAUUACUAGAGUUGUGGACAGCAUGAUUGACAAUCUGCGCCCUACUCGCGCAGAAGCUACUGAUGUUGCAAAUGCUGUCCUAGAUGGAACUGAUGGCAUUUUGCUCGGUGCGGAGACACUUCGAGGGCAGUAUCCUGUUGACGCUGUGCGUACUGUGGGCAGAAUAUGUGCAGAAGCUGAGACCGUGUAUAACCAGUCACUUCACUUCAAGAAAGUAGUGAGGCAUGUAGGUGAACCAAUGGUCCAUGAAGAAUCUGUGGCAUCAUCAGCGGUUCGUUCUGCAAUGAAGGUAAAAGCUGCUGCAAUUGUUGUGUUCACCUUCUCGGGGAGAGCUGCUAGGUUAAUUGCUAAAUACAGGGCCCCAAUGCCAGUUUUAGCAGUUGUGUUCCCGCGUGAGGGCUCUGAUCCAUCGAAGUGGCGUUCUUAUGGCACGACACAGGCGAGGCAAUGUUUUUCUGUGAGAGGUGUCUACCCUUUGAUGGGGAGUACUGACGAUGUAUGCACUUCUUACUUGGUGAUACCAGAGCAAGUUCUGUUAUUUCCAAUGUUAAGCAUAUAUGGUGGCUGCGGAUGCUUUUUGUUUGGAGAUCUACGGUGCAACUAUCUCAGAGCUGAAACUGGUGGGCUCACCAAGGAAGAAUACGGGAUAAAACUUGCACUGAACUAUGGCCGGUCAGUAGGCAUAAUAAAGCCAUACGACAGGGUGAUUAUUUUUGAAAAGAUCGGUGAUUCCUCUGUUGUCAAGAUCAUCGAGUGCGACGAUUCUGAAAGAUGA